AACGUAGGUUCCGAGCGUUAUCCGGAUUUACUGGGCGUAAAGCGCGUUCAGGCGGUUUGGCAAGUCGGGCAUGAAAUCCUUCGGCUCAACCGGGGGAGGUUGUCCGAUACUGCUGAACUGGAGGGCAGUAGAGGGUGGUGGAAUUCCGGGUGUAGUGGUGAAAUGCGUAGAGAUCCGGAGGAACACCAGUGGCGAAAGCGGCCACCUGGACUGCACCUGACGCUGAAACGCGAAAGCUAGGGGAGCGAACGGG
This 253-nucleotide ribosomal RNA is filed under the name uncultured bacterium. Its description in RNAcentral is "partial 16S ribosomal RNA". It matches the Rfam family "Bacterial small subunit ribosomal RNA", at positions 524 to 776 of the family's 1533-position model. The record is from RNAcentral.